RNAcentral lists this unclassified non-coding RNA (213 nucleotides) under uncultured Cantharellales. RNAcentral describes it as "sequence contains ITS2". The record is from RNAcentral. Lineage: Eukaryota; Fungi; Basidiomycota; Agaricomycetes; Cantharellales.
AGCUCUCAAAUGGAGUCCUUUAUUGUGACUUCCAUUUGGAUUUGGACUCUGCUGUGGUCAAAUACAGCUGGUCUUAAAAGCAUUAGCUUGGUCCUUGAUAAUCUUGGUUCUACUCGGCGUGAUAAUUAUCUAACGUUGAGGACAUUUCUUUAUUGAGAUGGCCAGAAUUGUUUAAGAACUGCUUCUAACCGUCUUCGGACAUAACACUUUCAA